AACAAGGGUGGAUGGUGGAUGCCUUGGCACUGAACGGCGAUGAAGGACGUAGCGUAGCGACGAUACGCCUCGGGGAGGUGCGUAGCAACCUGUGAUCCGGGGAUGUCCGAAUGGGGAAACCUAGUGCUGCAAACCAGCACUGCCAGUGCUUCGCACUGACAUGCGGAUUGAUGCUGAUACGGCACGCAACGUGCCGCCGCGGAUUAAUGCUGAUGAAUUUUAUCAUCCGCAUAAAUCAGUUAAAAUCAGCGUAAAUCAGCGUGCCAAUGCGGAGCAGUGGCGCGUACCUGGGGAAGUGAAUCAUCUCAGUACCCAGAGGAAAAUAAAACAAUAUCGUUCGCUUCGCUCACUGUUACGCGAUUCGAAACUACAAAUUCAUUCGAAUCUACGAAUACCGAUGCAUUUUUUGCAUUUCAUUUGUAGAUUCGCGCUAUUCGUAGUUUUGCAUCGGUAAUAGCGAGCGGAGCGAGCGGUGAUUCCCUAAGUAGCGGCGAGCGAAAAGGGACCGCCUGCAGUUUUUCUGCAGAAUAGCCCAAACCUACCAGUGCUUCGCACUGACAUGCGGAUUAAUGCUGAUACGGCACGCAACGUGCCGCCGCGGAUUAAUGCUGAUAGUACACUAUCCGCAUAAAUCAGCUGAAAUCAGCGUGAAUCAGCGUGCCACUGCGGAGCAGUGGUGGGGGUCGUAAGAUUAAACAUUUCACUCACUUCGUUUCGCUGGACGCGGAUUGAUACUGAUUGCGGCGGAUUAAUGCGGAUUUUUAUCCGUGCGAAUCCGUUCCAAUCCGUAUAAAUCCGUGUUUAAGCGGGCGGAGCGAGCGAGGAGAGUUACCAAUCCAUUGGUUAGCCGAAUCCGCUGGAAAGCGGAGCCAGAGCAGGUGAGAGCCCUGUAGGCGAAAACCGGUGGACUCUCUUGUUUUUAUCUUGAGUACCUCGAGGCCAACGAACCUUGAGGGAAUCCGGGAGUACUAUCUCCUAAGGCUAAAUACGUUCGGUGACCGAUAGUGAACUAGUACCGUGAGGGAAAGGUGAAAAGCAGCCCGGUGAGGGCGAUGAAAUAGUACCUGAAACCAUCCACUUACAAGGAAGCAACGCCGAUGCGUAGCAUCGGAAUGACGAAUUUUGAAUUCUUAAUUUUGAUUGAAUUUCUUAAUGGUUUAAUUUUUAAAUUAAGUCAUUGGAAUUUGAUUAGAAAUUAGAAAUUAAAAAUUGGAAAUUCCGCUGCUGCGCAUCGGUUAUGCUGUGCCUAUUGAAGAAUGAGCCAACGAGUUUAUGUAUGCUGCAAAGUCUAACCCGCCUCAGGCGGAGAAGGCGUAGCGAAAGCGAGUCUGAACAGGGCGCCGCGUUCACUUCGUUCCGCUGAUGCGAUACUAAUAUACGAAUUCAUACUAAUAAUACGAAUAAUACCAAUUGUUCGUAUCCAUUAGUAUCAUUCGCAUACAUUCGUAUAUUGGUAUCGUGUCAGCGAGCGGAGCGAGCGAUAGCAGCAUGUGUAAAACCCGAAACCAGACGAGCUUGCCUUGGCCAGGGUGAAAGCCGAUGAAAAUCGGCUGGAGGCCCGCACCGGUGAGUCGUUCAACACUCUCGGAUGAGCUGGGGUAAGAAGUGAAAAGCUAAUCGAGUCUGGUAAUAGCUGGUUCUCUCCGAAAUAGUUUUAGGACUAGCCUCGCAUGUUUCCCACUGGAGGUAGAGCACUGGAUGAACGGCAAAGGGCGAAAGCUCGGCCGCUCAAUCAAACUCCGAAUGCCAGCGGGUAAAAGUGCGGGAGUCAGACCGUGGGGGCUAAGCUCCAUGGUCGCGAGGGGAAGAGCCCAGACCGCCGUCUAAGGUCCCCAAGUGCGUGCUCAGUGUGAAAGGUAGUCAGUGUGCCCUGACAGAUAGGAGGUUGGCUUAGAGGUAGCCAUCCUUUAAAGAGUGUGUAACAACUCACUAUUCGAGGACACUGGCGCCGAAAAUUUAUCGGGGCUUAAGCACGCCACCGAAGCCGCGGCGUUGCUCGCUCGAAUAAAUACCGAAUGUUAACGAAUCAAAACCGAAUCGUAUUUGAUUUACAUUUGAUUCUAUUCGAUGUUUAUUCGGGCGAGUAACGGGUAGGAGAGCAUUCCCUGUGCAGUGAANNNNNNNGCAAAUCUAGUGAAAACCUAGAUCUCCGCAAAUCCAAGGUUUCCUCCGCAACGAACAUCGACGGAGGGUGAGGCGGCCCUAAGGCAAUGGCGAAAGCCGCAGCUGAAGGACAGCCGGUUAAUAUUCCGGCCCGCCCAUGUUUUUCGAUGGGGCGACGAAGCGCAGUACGCGAGGCGUCUUAAUGGUUUGACGUCCUUGGCGCGAGCGUGGUAUCCAGGCAAAUCCGGAUACCUGCCUUUCAUGGCGAACGUCAGCGCAGAGGCGAGGUGAGGUUCUUACCUUACCGAGUCCGCAGAGCGCGUUUCCAAGAAAACCCCCUAAGGUUAGGAACAUGGGCACCGUACCGUAAACCGCCACAGGUGGAUGAGGCGAGUAGCCUCAGGAGAACGGGUGAUUCUUCGUUAAGGAACUCGGCAAAAAAGCUAGGCGUAACUUCGGGA
RNAcentral lists this ribosomal RNA (2564 nucleotides) under Candidatus Jorgensenbacteria bacterium CG10_big_fil_rev_8_21_14_0_10_54_38. RNAcentral's name for it is "bacterial LSU rRNA". It matches the Rfam family "Bacterial large subunit ribosomal RNA", at positions 10 to 1741 of the family's 2925-position model. The record is from RNAcentral. Lineage: Bacteria; Candidatus Joergenseniibacteriota.